RNAcentral lists this ribosomal RNA (408 nucleotides) under uncultured bacterium. RNAcentral describes it as "bacterial SSU rRNA". It matches the Rfam family "Bacterial small subunit ribosomal RNA", at positions 44 to 497 of the family's 1533-position model. The record is from RNAcentral.
ACGCCUAACACAUGCAAGUCGAACGAAGUAGCAAUACUUAGUGGCAGACGGGUGAGUAACAUGUAGGUAUCUGCCCUUUGGCCUGGAAUAACACGAGGAAACUUGUGCUAAUACCAGAUAAGUCUUUACGGAGAAAGCUUUAUGCACCAUUGGAUGAGCCUGCACUUGAUUAGUUUGUUGGUGGGGUAAUGGCCUACCAAGACUGUGAUCAAUAGCUGAUUUGAGAGGAUGAUCAGCCACAUUGGGACUGAGACACGGCCCAAACUCCUACGGGAGGCAGCAGUGGGGAAUCUUGCACAAUGGAGGAAACUCUGAUGCAGCGAUGCCGCGUGAGUGAAGAAGGCCCUUGGGUUGUAAAGCUCUUUCGUCGGGGAAGAAAAUGACUGUACCCGAAUAAGAAGGUCCGGC